RNAcentral lists this ribosomal RNA (253 nucleotides) under uncultured bacterium. RNAcentral's name for it is "partial 16S ribosomal RNA". It matches the Rfam family "Bacterial small subunit ribosomal RNA", at positions 524 to 776 of the family's 1533-position model. The record is from RNAcentral.
UACGUAGGGUGCGAGCGUUAAUCGGAGUUACUGGGCGUAAAGGGCGCGCAGGCGGUCUUGAAAGUCAGGCGUGAAAGCCCCGGGCUUAACCUGGGAAUUGCGCUUGAUACUCUGAGACUGGAGUACGGGAGAGGAGAGUGGAAUUCCCAGUGUAGAGGUGAAAUUCGUAGAUAUUGGGAAGAACACCAGUGGCGAAGGCGGCUCUCUGGACCGUAACUGACGCUGAGGCGCGAAAGCGUGGGGAGCAAACAGG